Molecule: ribosomal RNA, 446 nt
Filed under: uncultured bacterium
Lineage: Bacteria
Description: bacterial SSU rRNA
Rfam family: Bacterial small subunit ribosomal RNA
Source: RNAcentral
UUCCAGACUCCUACGGGAGGCAGCAGUGGGGAAUAUUGCACAAUGGGGGAAACCCUGAUGCAGCGACGCCGCGUGAGUGAAGAAGUAUUUCGGUAUGUAUAGCUCUAUCUGCAGGGAAGAAAAUGACGGUACCUGACUAAGAAGCCCCGGCUAACUACGUGCCAGCAGCCGCGGUAAUACGUAGGGGGCAAGCGUUAUCCGGAUUUACUGGGUGUAAAGGGAGCGUAGACGGCAUGGCAAGUCAGAUGUGAAAGCCCGGGGCUCAACCCCGGGACUGCAUUUGAAACUGUCAGGCUGGAGUGCAGGAGAGGUAAGUGGAAUUCCUAGUGUAGCGGUGAAAUGCGUAGAUAUUAGGAGGAACACCAGUGGCGAAGGCGGCCUGCUGGACUGCAACUGACGUUGAGGCUCGAAGGCGUGGGGAGCAAACAGGAUUAGAUACCCUCGUA